AGUUGCUGGGUGUAGACCCGAAACCGAGUGAUCUAUCCAUGGCCAGGUUGAAGGUGCCGUAACAGGUACUGGAGGACCGAACCCACGCAUGUUGCAAAAUGCGGGGAUGAGCUGUGGAUAGGGGUGAAAGGCUAAACAAACUCGGAGAUAGCUGGUUCUCCCCGAAAACUAUUUAGGUAGUGCCUCGAGCAAGACACUGAUGGGGGUAAAGCACUGUUAUGGCUAGGGGGUUAUUGCAACUUACCAACCCAUGGCAAACUAAGAAUACCAUCAAGUGGUUCCUCGGGAGACAGACAGCGGGUGCUAACGUCCGUUGUCAAGAGGGAAACAACCCAGACCGCCAGCUAAGGUCCCAAAUGAUAGAUUAAGUGGUAAACGAAGUGGGAAGGCCCAGACAGCCAGGAUGUUGGCUUAGAAGCAGCCAUCAUUUAAAGAAAGCGUAAUAGCUCACUGGUCAAGUCGUCCUGCGCGGAAGAUGUAACGGGGCUCAAAUCUAUAACCGAAGCUGCGGAUGCCAGUUUACUGGCAUGGUAGGGGAGCGUUCUGUAGGCCGAUGAAGGUGCAUUGUAAAGUGUGCUGGAGGUAUCAGAAGUGCGAAUGUUGACAUGAGUAGCGAUAAAGCGGGUGAAAAGCCCGCUCGCCGAAAGCCCAAGGUUUCCUACGCAACGUUCAUCGGCGUAGGGUGAGUCGGCCCCUAAGGCGAGGCAGAAAUGCGUAGUCGAUGGGAAACAGGUUAAUAUUCCUGUACUUGAUUCAAAUGCGAUGUGGGGACGGAGAAGGUUAGGUUAGCAAGCUGUUGGAAUAGCUUGUUUAAGCCGGUAGGUGGAAGACUUAGGCAAAUCCGGGUCUUCUUAACACCGAGAAGUGAUGACGAGUGUCUACGGACAUGAAGUAACCGAUACCACGCUUCCAGGAAAAGCCACUAAGCUUCAGUUUGAAUCGAACCGUACCGCAAACCGACACAGGUGGGCAGGAUGAGAAUUCUAAGGCGCUUGAGAGAACUCAGGAGAAGGAACUCGGCAAAUUGAUACCGUAACUUCGGGAGAAGGUAUGCCCUCUAAGGUUAAGGACUUGCUCCGUAAGCCCUGGAGGGUCGCAGAGAAUAGGUGGCUGCGACUGUUUAUUAAAAACACAGCACUCUGCUAACACGAAAGUGGACGUAUAGGGUGUGACGCCUGCCCGGUGCUGGAAGGUUAAUUGAAGAUGUGCAAGCAUCGGAUCGAAGCCCCAGUAAACGGCGGCCGUAACUAUAACGGUCCUAAGGUAGCGAAAUUCCUUGUCGGGUAAGUUCCGACCCGCACGAAUGGCGUAACGAUGGCCACACUGUCUCCUCCUGAGACUCAGCGAAGUUGAAGUGGUUGUGAAGAUGCAAUCUACCCGCUGCUAGACGGAAAGACCCCGUGAACCUUUACUGUAGCUUUGCAUUGGACUUUGAAGUCACUUGUGUAGGAUAGGUGGGAGGCUUUGAAGCAGAGACGCCAGUCUCUGUGGAGCCGUCCUUGAAAUACCACCCUGGUGUCUUUGAGGUUCUAACCCAGACCCGUAAUCCGGGUCGGGGACCGUGCAUGGUAGGCAGUUUGACUGGGGCGGUCUCCUCCCAAAGAGUAACGGAGGAGUUCGAAGGUUACCUAGGUCCGGUCGGAAAUCGGACUGAUAGUGCAAUGGCAAAAGGUAGCUUAACUGCGAGACCGACAAGUCGAGCAGGUGCGAAAGCAGGACAUAGUGAUCCGGUGGUUCUGUAUGGAAGGGCCAUCGCUCAACGGAUAAAAGGUACUCCGGGGAUAACAGGCUGAUUCCGCCCAAGAGUUCAUAUCGACGGCGGAGUUUGGCACCUCGAUGUCGGCUCAUCACAUCCUGGGGCUGUAGUCGGUCCCAAGGGUAUGGCUGUUCGCCAUUUAAAGUGGUACGUGAGCUGGGUUUAAAACGUCGUGAGACAGUUUGGUCCCUAUCUGCAGUGGGCGUUGGAAGUUUGACGGGGGCUGCUCCUAGUACGAGAGGACCGGAGUGGACGAACCUCUGGUGUACCGGUUGUAACGCCAGUUGCAUAGCCGGGUAGCUAAGUUCGGAAGAGAUAAGCGCUGAAAGCAUCUAAGCGCGAAACUCGCCUGAAGAUGAGACUUCCCUUGUGGUUUAACCACACUAAAGAGUCGUUCGAGACCAGGACGUUGAUAGGUGGGGUGUGGAAGCGCGGUAACGCGUGAAGCUAACCCAUACUAAUUGCUCGUGAGGCUUGACUCU
This 2238-nucleotide ribosomal RNA is filed under the name metagenome. RNAcentral's name for it is "bacterial LSU rRNA". It matches the Rfam family "Bacterial large subunit ribosomal RNA", at positions 698 to 2925 of the family's 2925-position model. The record is from RNAcentral.